RNAcentral lists this transfer RNA (68 nucleotides) under Molipteryx fuliginosa. Its description in RNAcentral is "tRNA-Ser". It matches the Rfam family "tRNA". From Rfam's summary of the family: Transfer RNA (tRNA) molecules are approximately 80 nucleotides in length. RNAcentral also lists the same sequence under 2 other names. Lineage: Eukaryota; Metazoa; Arthropoda; Insecta; Hemiptera; Coreidae. The record is from RNAcentral.
AGUUAAAAAGCUUUAGUAAGCAUUUACUUUGAAAGUAAAACAUGAUGGUUAAAUUCCAUUAUUAACUU